This is a non-coding RNA of Lupinus albus (white lupine), 315 nucleotides long. The record is from the annotation of a GenBank genome assembly. Lineage: Eukaryota; Viridiplantae; Streptophyta; Magnoliopsida; Fabales; Fabaceae.
UCUAUGUAUCCUUUUUUCUUGUGUUGCCUUGAAAUAAUAGCAGGAUCAUCCAAUACCUGCUCUCCUGCCUUCAAAGAUGUGGGGGGAGACUUAACCUGCAAGUUCUGAAAUGUAAAAUUCAUUAUAACAUGCACAUCCCAGAUGAGCAUAAUUGCAUGCAUACACAGCACAAGCACGAGAAGCGGAAAAAAACUAUGCUUCAAUGGAAUUGACAGAGAUUCAUACAUGCAAAUCAAUGUCAACAAUUACAUUCAAUAGAGAGAUAUUAAGCCAGGAAAAGUAUCAUAAAACUUUGAUGGAUGGAAAGUAAAGCUG